CACAAAUACAGAGAGAGAGAGAGAGAGAGAGAGAAAUACAUACAUACAUUUAUCUGUAUAAACCUUGAUCAGAUUAUGUUUUCAAAUAUAUCUCUGGAUCUCACUUGAAAAAAAGUCCAAUUCAGUGGACUUUCAACCUUGGCAAAUCUAGUAUCAAGGACACAAGUGCUGUUUCUGUUCCCAUGCUGCUAGAAAUAAUUGUCAAAUUGUAAGCAAGAAAAAACACAACAGCAGGUUCUUUGCUUUUGUACCCUUGGUUAAACUAAAGGAGCAAAUCCGACCGUGCAAUGGUAGCUGACAAUGAAACUUUUUAACUCUGAGAAAUCAUUCUGACACGGAUUUCAUUUUGGCAUACUCUGCAUAGAACACAAGUUCCUUAUAAUGAAAUAGACGUGAAUGUGAUUGCAAUCAUGGAAGCUAUAUAAAUACAGCAGGCACGUCUGCGCAUGUUCAGGUUAAAGAUAUAUAAAUACAGCAGUCUGCGCAUGUUUAGGUUGUAAGCCGCAGGGUACAGAUGGACACCACCAGUGGCAAGGCAAGUUGUGAUGUCUCCUGUGCUGUGCUAGUGAGGCAAGUUGUGAUGUCUCCUGUGCUCUGCUAGUGAGGCAAGUUCUGAUGUCUCCUGUGCUGUGCUGUGCUAGUGAGGCAAGUUGUGAUGUCUCCUGUGCUCUGCUAGUGAGGCAAGUUCUGAUGUCUCCUGUGCUGUGCUGUGCUAACUAGUUCUGAUGUCUCCGGUGCUCUGCUAGUGAGGCCCAAGUGGGGUGGUCACCCAGCUCUCUGAGAGCUCUGAGCUGCUCCGCAGGCUUGACAUGGUGACAAUGCAAUGCGCUGCGUCAGCCCCUGCCCCUGACAGUGAUUUAUACGGGGUGCCAAACAGCCCGAUCGGCAGCGCAGCUGACAUGCUAAUUCAUGGAAAAGAAAUGAAAUGUGACACUGUAAUUGAUCUCCAAAUGCAUAAUUGGGAAAUGCAAGGACAUGCGUUAUUUUCAGAAAGAUGUGUGCUUCUACCGCACAGACAGUUGAAGGUCUGGAGGAGUGAUUAGCAAGGCAUACAUUCCUGAAGGGCAUAGAAAAUACUGCUUAGAUAAAGCUGAUCAUUACAAUUGAGUGAGUGUGCAUGAAACACCAUAAUAAGACUACACACUGUCAAACAGUAAGUUAAGUUCGAACCUGCUGAACCUAUUAUGUUGAUCUAACAGAUUCCAACACAGAAUUGAAUUAAUCUAACUGAAUCAUGUAGGACAAAUAUUAAACAAUAAACUAAGUACACAACUGGGAAGUCAACCCCUCCUUUAUAAAUGGAUUCCAAUCAGCCUUUGCAAGAACAUUGAAGUAAUGAAUGCUUCUGAAUGUUGUUCCAGAUUUAUUCAGAAUAUGCCAUUUCUAGAAGCAGUGGCAUGGCAAUAUCUUGAUCUAGUUGCAGUGAUUUAGCAUCUUCAAUACAACCUUUAUAAGAUCACACUCAGUAUGUUCCUGCUUAUCAAACUUGCAUGACACAAUUAUGUUGAAGUUACAUGAUUAAAUAAAGAAUUCCAUUCCAUUUCAUGUCAGCUUAAUAAAAAAAAUGUAUUGGAAUUAGUUUGUCAAGUUGUGCCAGUUUUGUAAGAAACCUAAAUA
This is a long non-coding RNA of Clupea harengus (Atlantic herring), 1617 nucleotides long. NCBI's taxonomy places the organism in Eukaryota, Metazoa, Chordata, Actinopteri, Clupeiformes, Clupeidae. The record is from Ensembl.